Molecule: non-coding RNA, 2238 nt
Organism: Procambarus clarkii (red swamp crayfish)
Lineage: Eukaryota; Metazoa; Arthropoda; Malacostraca; Decapoda; Cambaridae
Source: RefSeq, a predicted model, not a curated record
UAUAUAUAUUUGCAAAUAUAGGCGUGAUAAUUUUUUUCAUUUUGAUUGUUGUUCCAUGUGCAGACACGUGAAUAUCACUCGAAAAGUCGGAACUGCUAUAGCAACUAUAGAUGGAAAGUACAAAAUAUGGACUGUUUCACCCCAGCAAAAUGUUCGCGCUUUGUACUAAUAAUUCUGUAUUGUGCCCGAGAAACAAGGAAACAACAAUCUCCUAAUUCUUCUUGAGCCAAGCAUAAUACAUAUAUUUACUAAAUUAAACAAUAUUUCUUACGUUAGCAUAGAAUUACGUGUUCAGGGCUACAAUAGUUUAGAUUACGGUUAGGCUGUUUCAGUUUACAAUGCCCUUUUGAAUUCCAAUAGUACAACAUGUGGAUAUUAUUUGGAUGCAUUGGUUCUUAUUUCGUAUAUUCCAUCCAUAGAAACAAUAUGUACGAUUAUAUUUGGUUGCAACGUCGCCGUAUGAAAAUUCCAGCGACAUAAAUCGAAAACAGCUGCUCAGUCACAUACUGGGCAAAGUUGCUAGGUUCUGUCUAAACUGCAGGUUGUGUUUACUAAGUUUUCCUGCUGCUGGUUGUGUGGCUAAGCUUCCUUCUUGCAGGCUGUGUGGCCAGGCUUCACUGCUGCAGGUUGUAUGGGCUAAGCUUCAAUGCUGCAGGUUGUGUGGCUAGGCUUCACUGCUACAGGUUAUGUGCCUAAUCUUCACUGCUGCUGGUUUUGUGGCUAAGCUUCACUGCUGCAGGUUGACGUAUUUCACAAUUACUAGUAUGGCAGCGCCUUCAAAUAAAAUAUUUCCUUUGGCACUUAUUAAAUCUACAAACAACAAAUCUACAAGAUCCAAACAACAAGUCACAAUUUCCCAAGUUGCUAAAAUUCUUAUUCUUAUUGCACAUAAGAAUAAAAUACAACAAACAGAAUACAUUACACAUACCCUAUUAAACCAAGAACACUCAUGGGUUAGAAACUUAUCUCAAUUGCAUACCUAAUUCAUCUAUAAAACACACACACACAUGCCAUCCAUAUACCCAAAUACAUUCGCCUAAAUAUUUGGUUGAGUUUACAACGUUCUAAUAAAUGAAAGGUUUGCCCCCCAAAAUAUGAUUUUAUUUUAGUGACCUAAAGAACGUAGUUUAAAGAACUACGAGACAGACUUGAGUAACAUAAGAGUUCCUCGAGAGAACCAAAUCCAAUCCCUUGAUCACCAUAUGUUCUAAUGUCCCAUCUUAUUUCACCAGUUACGUUAAGUUUAGAGAUUUAUAUUCCCCUCCAUUUACUAUUUGUAUCAAUCUCUUUUGUUAAACUUUCUCUCAUCCAGUUACUAAAUACACAAAUCCAGAACAUCAAAAGAUUAUUUCUUGAGACUAAAAUUCGCAAAAAACAUUAAUGAGUGGGUUAACCAGUGUUUAUCCCCCCCAAAAAUGCCGUUGACCGUGAACCAAUGACUAAGGGGGUGUAUUUUCCUCGCUACUCAUCGUAAUUUUCUUCAAGAAUUUCAACUCCUCAUCUUUCUUCCUUCCCUUCUCCUCCUUUCCCCCCACCCCCCGCCUUACCUUGAGGUGCUUCCGGGGCUUAGCGUCCCCGCGGCCCGGUCGUCGACCAGACCUCCUGGUUGCUGGACUGAUCAACCAGGCUGUUGGACGCGGCUGCUCGCAGCCUGACGUAUGAGUCACAGCCUGGUUGAUCAGGUAUCCUUUGGGGUAGCCUUCUUGAAGCUCUUUGAACAUCGAAGUUGAUGUUGGACUAGGGGCCCAUAUACACUACUGUACUACAUUGGACAUCACUCAUCCAUUGUUCAAGUUCAAGUUCAAGUAUGUAUAUUGAGAUAAGCAAUUAAUACAUCUCAAAGGGAUAGAGUAGCUUAGGUUAUUUCUACCCCCCUGAUCAUCAAUUGUAUAAUUGUUUAAUAUACUCCACCUUGGUUGAAUUGCAUUGCCGUAUGUUCGCUUAUACGCAUUCAAAUAUGUUUAAUUAAAACAAAUUCAUGUACUUAUUUGAUUUACAUUUAUUAUUGUAAAUAUUUAUUGAAACUUCGGAUGAACCCGAUAUGACUGGUAAUUCAUCAUCAUGUUUAAAUAAAUCUUUGAAAAAAUAGUUCUUAUGGAAAUGUGUUUUCGAGAUAUAUAAUUAUAUAUAAUAUACAGAAAAUUACAUUCUUCGAAUAGAUCAUAUCUUUAAUUUUAUUGUCAAAUGGUACUGGCUCAUGUGCAAAUGUUUACCCUGUACAAUAAACUAAAACUUUUU